RNAcentral lists this ribosomal RNA (425 nucleotides) under uncultured bacterium. RNAcentral's name for it is "partial 16S ribosomal RNA". It matches the Rfam family "Bacterial small subunit ribosomal RNA", at positions 354 to 796 of the family's 1533-position model. The record is from RNAcentral.
GUGGGGAAUAUUGGGCAAUGGGGGAAACCCUGACCCAGCAACGCCGCGUGAAGGAAGAAGGUUUUCGGAUCGUAAACUUCUAUCCUUGGUGAAGAUAAUGACGGUAGCCAAGAAGGAAGCCCCGGCUAACUACGUGCCAGCAGCCGCGGUAAUACGUAGGGGGCAAGCGUUGUCCGGAAUGAUUGGGCGUAAAGGGCGCGUAGGCGGCCUGGUAAGUCUGGAGUGAAAGUCCUGCUUUUAAGGUGGGAAUUGCUUUGGAUACUGUCGGGCUUGAGUGCAGGAGAGGUAAGCGGAAUUCCCGGUGUAGCGGUGAAAUGCGUAGAGAUCGGGAGGAACACCAGUGGCGAAGGCGGCUUACUGGACUGUAACUGACACUGAGGCACGAAAGCGUGGGGAGCAAACAGGAUUAGAAACCCCGGUAGUCC